Molecule: ribosomal RNA, 235 nt
Filed under: uncultured organism
Description: partial 16S ribosomal RNA
Rfam family: Bacterial small subunit ribosomal RNA
Source: RNAcentral
CCGAUUCGCCCGCCGCGCCCCGCGCCCGUCCCGCCGCCCCCGCCCGCUCCUACGGGAGGCAGCAGUGGGGAAUAUUGGACAAUGGGGGAAACCCUGAUGCAGCGACGCCGCGUGAAGGAAGACGUAUUUCGGUAUGUAAACUUCUAUCAGCAGGGAAGAAAACAGACGGUACCUGACUAAGAAGCCCCGGCUAACUACGUGCCAGCAGCCGCGGUAAUACAAUCCAUAUGACUAG